Argiope bruennichi is the source of this 1429-nucleotide long non-coding RNA. RefSeq lists it as uncharacterized. The transcript is spliced from 5 exons. The record is from RefSeq and is a predicted model, not a curated record. NCBI's taxonomy places the organism in Eukaryota, Metazoa, Arthropoda, Arachnida, Araneae, Araneidae.
UGUUUGACAAUUCUCUUAGCAACCGUCAUUCGUAAAUUCUGUUAGCCUUUUGUAAACAAUUGUAUUAAAUUUUAGCUUAUUUAAAUUAAAUUAAAUUAUUUAUUGUUUGUUUUCAUGUUUUUCGCAUCAAACUAAUUGAUAUUUUCAGAUCUCCAAAAAUCUUGGUCCUUCUGAUCUCCAAAAAUCUUUGUCCUUCUGAUCUCCAAAAAUCUUGGUCCUUCUGUUUCCAAAAAUAAGGAAUAUGUCAGCUGACGGAUCUCAGAAGAAAUUUUCAAGGAAAGUCUCAGCACUAAGAAAAAAGUCAUUUGUUUCUUUGGCAGUUUUAAUUGCAGACUUUGAUCAAAUGAAGCACCUCUGUGAAGACCUACGAUCAAGACGUUACUUUUCGCCAACGGAAAUUGAUAACAAUGUUCUAAACCGUCUUCAGUUGGAGGCUAUGAACAAAAUCAAGAAUGGCAGCAUCCCGAACAAACUCGGAAAAGAACUUGCCGACUACCUAUGCAAAAUUUAUUUAGAACUGUACAAAUUUCUGAACAAAAAAACUGCGCUUUUAAGAGAAAAAAGUAACUUGAAACAGUGCAUUGUCUUUAAUGCCGACGGAUCCAUAAAUCAUUGGAGAACUCAUAAAAAAAUAAUAAAUAAUCCUAAUCUGAGUUUCAAAACAAGAUCUGAGUGUCAAAACAAGUUCUGCCAGUGCUUGUAAAUUGCAACCCAUUAUCCAGAGACAUGGUAUAAAAGAUGUAAAAGCAUAUGAGGUUUUUCAUAAAAUUUAAUUUCUGUUAUGGCAGUUAGAAAUCUCAUUUUGUAAUGAUAAUGGGAAGAAAAAAAAAAACCCUCUUAAUAGCUGAAGACAACAACAGAUGAUGAAGGUGAGCACACUCUUGCUGUUUAAAGCAAUCCUGUAAUAGAAUUGAAUCUCAUUUUUGAUUCUUCACAGCAGCGAAACAAUUUUAAAAAGAACAUUCAGUGAGAAUUAAUAAUAUUUUUAUAAUGGAACAGCGAUGCCAUAGAAUCUUAAUUAAUCUAUUGAAAUUAUCGAUAAAUUUGAGUAGAUACUAUGGAUUAUUUCCAUAAUUAAUCGAGAAAUUAUAGGAAGUGUCAAAAUAGUGUCGAAGUGUGUAUUUAAAUUCUGUGGACAAAGUUUAUUGCAUGUUUGCGAUUUAAAAAUCUGCUUCCAUAUCUUCUAAGUUAUUUCUUUCAGCUUGGAAAAAUGGGAUUUACUUUUUUCAGUAUUUUCAUCGAUGAUUUUAAGUGUUUCAUAUAUUAAUUGGUGUUAUAUUUUUUAUUUACUACCUUAUAUAUACAUUUGAGAAUAAUGUAUUUGUUGAUUUGUUUGCUAUUCACUUGUACAUGUCACAGCUUAUGUGAAUGCAUAGUUCUCAUGUUAUGAAAGUUCUUUAAUUCAUUGUAAAUAUCAUCAUUCUGUAAU